UCUCUACCCUACACCCUAAACUAAACCACUUCCCAAGCCAGAACACCAGGCACCCAGAUGCCUGCCAGUCAAGACAUGCUGCAGACGGCUUACACUCCCAGGAAAGCCAAGGCCAUCCACCUCCGUGGAGAACCAACCUUCACGGCCAUGGAACUCCACAAGUCUGCAGCAGAAAUGGAGGGACAAACCAUAGGCACAGUGAAGUGAAUCGCUUCUUAGCUGGACACGGAACAAGACUACUCAGGUUUGAUGCUAUCAGCCUGCCUGGAUCUUCUCUUCCGAGGCUUCUAUUUCCCAGCUGUUGUGGAAUAGAAUAUUUGUUUAACUAUGCAAA
This is a long non-coding RNA of Peromyscus eremicus (cactus mouse), 334 nucleotides long. RefSeq lists it as uncharacterized. The transcript has 2 exons. The record is from RefSeq and is a predicted model, not a curated record. NCBI's taxonomy places the organism in Eukaryota, Metazoa, Chordata, Mammalia, Rodentia, Cricetidae.